AGCGAAAACUUUACAAUGCCGGCAACGGCGAUAAGGGGACCUCGAGUGCCAGGUUACAAAUCUGGCUGUCGUGAUGCCUAAAAAGCAUUGCAUAGCGAGGGCCGGGCAAGAACGGUGCCAGCCGCCGCGGUAACACCGGCGGCUCGAGUGGUAAACGUGAUUAUUGGGUCCAAAGGGUCUGUAGCCGGACAGAUAAGUCUAUGGGGAAAUCCAGCAGGUUAACUGUUGGGCUUUCAGGAGAUACUGGCUGGCUCGAGUCCGGGAGCGGUGAGAGGUACUGCAGGGGUAGGGGUGAAAUCUUGUGAUCCUUGAAGGACCACCAGUGGCGAAGGCGUCUCACCAGAACGGACCUGACGGUAAGGUACGAAAGCUAGGGGCACGAACC
Molecule: ribosomal RNA, 385 nt
Filed under: uncultured prokaryote
Description: bacterial SSU rRNA
Rfam family: Archaeal small subunit ribosomal RNA
Source: RNAcentral